UUGAAAGCGAAGAUAGGAAUGAGUAGCAGGUGUCUCCCUGUUUCAGAAAGCUGGUGGUUGAUGCGAACCAGUGCAAAGGCACGCUGUGAAUUACCUCCUGGAGCUGUCUCUGUGAACGUUAAGUAGCAGAGAACGGAUAAAACCGUUACGAAAUGAAGUGAAAAGCCAUUACUGUGGCUUUUAAUUAGGGUGGUACCGCGAGAUUGUCAUCACGUCCCUUUC
RNAcentral lists this non-coding RNA (222 nucleotides) under Fictibacillus phosphorivorans. Its description in RNAcentral is "T-box sequence". It matches the Rfam family "T-box leader". From Rfam's summary of the family: Uncharged tRNA acts as the effector for transcription antitermination of genes in the T-box leader family. T-boxes are found upstream of many aminoacyl-tRNA synthetase genes and some amino acid biosynthetic genes usually in Gram-positive bacteria. The anticodon of a specific tRNA base pairs to a specifier sequence within the T-box motif, and the NCCA acceptor tail of the tRNA base pairs to a conserved bulge in the T-box antiterminator hairpin. The record is from RNAcentral. Lineage: Bacteria; Bacillati; Bacillota; Bacilli; Caryophanales; Fictibacillaceae.